GACGAACGCUGGCGGCGUGCCUAAUACAUGCAAGUAGAACGCUGAAGGAGGAGCUUGCUUCUCUGGAUGAGUUGCGAACGGGUGAGUAACGCGUAGGUAACCUGCCUGGUAGCGGGGGAUAACUAUUGGAAACGAUAGCUAAUACCGCAUAAUAGUAGAUGUUGCAUGACAUUUGCUUAAAAGGUGCAAUUGCAUCACUACCAGAUGGACCUGCGUUGUAUUAGCUAGUUGGUGGGGUAACGGCUCACCAAGGCGACGAUACAUAGCCGACCUGAGAGGGUGAGCGGCCACACUGGGACGGAGACAAGGACCAGACUCCUACGGGAGGCAGCAGUAGGGAAUCUUCGGCAAUAGACGGAAGUCUGACCGAGCAACGACGCGUGAGUGAAGAAGGAUUUCGGAUCGUAAAGCUCUGUUGUAAGAGAAGAACGAGUGUGAGAGUGGAAAGUUCACACUGUGACGGUAUCUGACCAGAAAGGGACGGCUAACUACGUG
RNAcentral lists this ribosomal RNA (495 nucleotides) under uncultured bacterium. Its description in RNAcentral is "partial 16S ribosomal RNA". It matches the Rfam family "Bacterial small subunit ribosomal RNA", at positions 28 to 507 of the family's 1533-position model. The record is from RNAcentral.